RNAcentral lists this ribosomal RNA (322 nucleotides) under Staphylococcus aureus. RNAcentral describes it as "partial 23S ribosomal RNA". It matches the Rfam family "Bacterial large subunit ribosomal RNA", at positions 536 to 860 of the family's 2925-position model. The record is from RNAcentral. Lineage: Bacteria; Bacillati; Bacillota; Bacilli; Caryophanales; Staphylococcaceae.
GAGUGAAAUAGAACCUGAAACCGUGUGCUUACAAGUAGUCAGAGCCCGUUAAUGGGUGAUGGCGUGCCUUUUGUAGAAUGAACCGGCGAGUUACGAUUUGAUGCAAGGUUAAGCAGUAAAUGUGGAGCCGUAGCGAAAGCGAGUCUGAAUAGGGCGUUUAGUAUUUGGUCGUAGACCCGAAACCAGGUGAUCUACCCUUGGUCAGGUUGAAGUUCAGGUAACACUGAAUGGAGGACCGAACCGACUUACGUUGAAAAGUGAGCGGAUGAACUGAGGGUAGCGGAGAAAUUCCAAUCGAACCUGGAGAUAGCUGGUUCUCUCC